This 294-nucleotide small nuclear RNA is filed under the name Jaculus jaculus (lesser Egyptian jerboa). RNAcentral's name for it is "7SK RNA (ENSJJAG00000006870.1)". It matches the Rfam family "7SK RNA". From Rfam's summary of the family: 7SK was discovered as an abundant small nuclear RNA in the mid-70s but a possible function has only recently been suggested. Two independent studies have found that 7SK RNA binds the CDK9/cyclin T complex (known as elongation factor P-TEFb). Lineage: Eukaryota; Metazoa; Chordata; Mammalia; Rodentia; Dipodidae. The record is from RNAcentral.
GGAUUUGAGUUAUCUGGCCGUGACACCUGUUGCUCCAUCAAUCAACGGUCUGACUUGAUCUGGAUGGCGAGGUGGGUGUCCCCUUCCUCCUUCAUUGCUCCAUGUGUGCUUUUCCUGAAGCUGCAAGCUUGGCCAAGCCUUUCCCAAUAGAGGAGAAUUGCUCUUUGGUCAAGGGUGUAACAGAGGCCCACUCCACUGUUAAAACCGCCCACUGCUCUGAAGGACAUUAUACUCUUAUCACAGGACCCAAGGAAGGCUCACAGCAUACCUGGGGUUCAUGAUUCCUCCACUGUG